This 865-nucleotide long non-coding RNA is filed under the name Parus major (Great Tit). RNAcentral describes it as "lncRNA (ENSPMJG00000002502.1)". Lineage: Eukaryota; Metazoa; Chordata; Aves; Passeriformes; Paridae. The record is from RNAcentral.
CGGUGACGGUGACGGUGACGGUGACAACCGGCCAGCCCCGGGCGGGGACAUCCGGCUGCAGCUCUGGUGGUGGGGACCCCGCGGGGACAGCGGGAACGGCGAUUGUCACCUCACCGGGGACAGUGAUUGUCACCUCACCGGGGACACCGGGAACGGCGAUUGUCACCUCACCGGGGACACCGAUUGUCACCUCCCCGGGGAUGGCAAUUGUCACCUCACCGGGGACGGCGAUUGUCACUGCCUUGGGGACACCGGGAAUGGCGAUUGUCACCUCACCGGGGACACCGGGAAUGGCGAUUGUCACCUCACCGGGGACGGUGAUUGUCACCUCACCGGGGACAGCGAUUGUCACCUCACCGGGGACAGCGGGAAUGGCGAUUGUCACCUCACCGGGGACGGUGAUUGUCACCUCACCGGGGACACCAGGAAUGGCGAUUGUCACCUCACCGGGGACACCAAUUGUCACCUCACCGGGGACACCGGGACCGGUGAUUGUCACCUCCCAAGGGACACCCGGGAAUGGCAGUUGUCACCUCCCCGGGGACACCGACUGUCACCGCCUUGGUGACACCAGGACUGGUGAUUGUCACCUCCCCAGGGACACCGAUUGUCACCUCACCGGGGACAGCGGGAACAGCGAUUGUCACCUCACCGGGGACACUGAUUGUCACCUCACCGGGACUGGUGAUUGUCACCUCCUUGGGGACACCGAUUGUCACCUCCCUGAGGACACCGAUUGUCACUGCCUUGGUGACCCCAGGACCGGCGAUCGUCACCACCCCCGGGACACCGAGUGUCACCCCUGGACACCCCAAACGUCACCCUGGGGGUGUCACAGCCCCCCAAAUGUCACCCCCACUCCGCU